CAGUAGCCACGGUAAUACGGAGGGGGCUAGCGUUGUUCGGAAUUACUGGGCGUAAAGCGCACGUAGGCGGCUUGGUAAGUUAGAGGUGAAAGCCUGGAGCUCAACUCCAGAAUUGCCUUUAAGACUGCCGAGCUAGCAGGUGAGAGAGGUAAGUGGAAUUCCGAGUGUAGAGGUGAAAUUCGUAGAUAUUCGGAAGAACACCAGUGGCGAAGGCGGCUUACUGGCUCAUACUGGACGCUGAGGUGCGAAAGCGUGGGGAGCAAACAGGAUUAGAUACCCGCGUAGUCCCUGUCUCUUAUAC
This 301-nucleotide ribosomal RNA is filed under the name uncultured bacterium. RNAcentral's name for it is "partial 16S ribosomal RNA". It matches the Rfam family "Bacterial small subunit ribosomal RNA", at positions 509 to 807 of the family's 1533-position model. The record is from RNAcentral.